This 253-nucleotide ribosomal RNA is filed under the name uncultured bacterium. RNAcentral describes it as "partial 16S ribosomal RNA". It matches the Rfam family "Bacterial small subunit ribosomal RNA", at positions 524 to 776 of the family's 1533-position model. The record is from RNAcentral.
GACAGAGGGUGCAAACGUUGUUCGGAUUUACUGGGCGUAAAGCGCGUGUAGGCGGCCCUGCAAGUCGGGUGUGAAAUCCCACGGCUCAACCGUGGAAGUGCACUCGAAACUGCAGGGCUAGAGUCCUGGAGAGGAAGGUGGAAUGCUUGGUGUAGAGGUGAAAUUCGUAGAUAUCAAGCGGAACACCGGUGGCGAAGGCGGCCUUCUGGACAGUGACUGACGCUGAGACGCGAAAGCGUGGGGAGCAAACAGG